Molecule: long non-coding RNA, 2359 nt
Organism: Capra hircus (goat)
Lineage: Eukaryota; Metazoa; Chordata; Mammalia; Artiodactyla; Bovidae
Exons: 3
Source: RefSeq, a predicted model, not a curated record
CGAAGAGUUGGAUACGACUGAGUGAUUUUCACUUUCACUUUCAUGCUAUAUAGUAGGACGUGUUGUUUAUUCAUCCUGCAUAUAAUAAGUUUGCAUCUGCUAAUCCCAAACUCUCAAUCCUCUCCCUCUUGGCAACCACAAGUUGAUUCUCUGUGUUGUGACCCUAUUGACUCUCAGUUCGCACAUUAGUGAAAUGGAAAAACUAAAUCCCAGACUCUUCACACAAGGCCAUCACAUGGAUCAAGUGACAUGAUAAAAAUCUAAGUUUGUGGAUUGACAGCUACUAAAAAACAAGAUUAGGCAAGAUGGCAUGGCACAGUCAAUGAAAAGAAAUGGACUUGGGAUCAGAAGGCCUAGCUUAAGUAACCUAAGUGACUGAAGUGACUUAGCACGUGUGCACAUAUCAUUUGACUUUCUGAGCCUCUAUUUUCUCAUCUCUAGAAUGAGAUUAUUUGUACCUGGCAUGCCUACUGGAACGAUAUUUCUCAUUAUGUAAAAAGAGAGGUACGUGCUGCUUAGUCAGUCGCAUCCGACUCUCUGCGACCCCAUGGACUCUAGCCCACCAGGUUCCUCUGUCCAUGGGAUUCUCCAGGCAAAUUCUUUACUGUUCGAGCCACCAAGUAGAGGGCAUUUAGCUGCCCCAGACGCAAGGGCUACAACGCUGAACAAGACAGCUUGGCUGCUGUGGUGGCGCCUACAGCCUCCUGGAGCAGACAAUGGAUUUAAAACUACUUUGUCAAUUAUAACCUGAUAUUAUUAUAAUUGCAAACAAACAAACCAUAUUUGGCUUUACAUACACAACUGGGUGAAGUACUAGUAGGAACUUCCCUGCUGGUCCAGUGGUGAAGACUCUGUGCUUCUGAUGCAAGUGGCAUGGGUUCCAUCCUUGAUUGGAGAAAAAAGAUUCUAAAUGCCGUGUGGCAUGGCUGAGAAAAUAUUAAAAAAAGAGAAAGUACUAGUAAAGUGAAAAUAUUGAAAUUCAUGCUGUAAGAAACACAAGGAUGAAAAUAGAAACUAGAGGAAAGGCUUGGUAAGCUGUCUGGUUUAACUGGCACACCACUCAGAUGGCUUUUCACAUGGAACAUGUUGCAUUUGGUAAGUGAAGUUUCUCCUCCCUGGAGAGCAGGAGGUACCUUCUCCAGUUAGUGCUGUGUGUGGCUAGUGAAAGCUAUGGGCCUUGCUAGGUGGAAGUCUGCCUUUGGCAUCCGUCUGUGAGCCAUGAGGGGUUGACAUUUGGCAGCCAUGUGCUGUGCUCAGCAAUGUACUUCAAAGCAGACACUUCCCACAAUUUUCAGGUUAGUGAGGACAUCACAGUCAAGGCCUGUCUGUUGCUUUGAAAAGCAUUGCUGUGUUUUGAAUGUGAUCUCUUUCACACAAAGCUUUUUUUCAGGUCACUAGAGGAACUGAUGCUCAGAAACUCUCUUCAACUCUUGGGGUUGUUUUGUGCUGGCUUUAGAAGUCAUCCGUCUGAUACUUUCCCGUAUAACAUGAAGGUCUCACAGCAGGAAGCUUCAAUGGCAAAUGCUCACAAAGAAAAGAGAAGGGAAAAAGGUCCCAUGAACCAGGGAACAGUUCCUCAACAAUUCCUCCUUUAACUGUAACGUGACCCAUAUCAUUUCACCAAGUGCAGACAGAGUUACAGAAUGAGAGUGUGGUAUAUUUUUCUGGCUAAAAUUAGUUUUGGUGUUUUUCUUUUUCAACCCAAAGCUUAUUUCUGUUCACCUUUCCACAAACUCUCUGAUCAAGUAAUGGAUCUAAGACCUAAUAAUCCUGGGCACAGUUUUCUUCAGGGAGACUCUCCUGUGAAGGCUCUUGGCUAUUUUCUGUGUCAGGCUUUUGUCUCCCGGCUUCUUACUCCAUCCUCAGCACCUGGAAUGAUCUGUAGCACGAAUUAGGCACAUAUUUGUUCAGUGAGUGAACACAGAUGUCCCCUUUGUCUAAAUGGAAGAUGUAGCUAAGGAGAACAAAGUUAUCAACUUUACCAAAAGUGAGCGAUUUGCAUUUCUGAGAACCCACAGACUUGGUGUGAUAACUAGUUCAUUAAGCCUCUGACCUUCCCAAGAAUACUUUCCAAGAUUAUUUCCUUGAAGACAAAAUUUGUAAACAAAUCAAUAUGUCACAGAAUCUUAUGUGAACUCAGAGAAGGCAGCAUGAGCUAUGUAUGGAGGAGAAGAUGUUUAAAUGUGAUGUGGAAGUGUGCCCAGUUAACCAGAGGAAGAUGGACACCAUCAGAGGAAGUGCCAUGAAUAGGAAGAACAGUACAACAACUACUAACUUAGUGUUUGAAACUCUUGGGCUUCCCCGGUGGCUCAGUGGUAAAUAAUCUGCCUGAAAUGCAGGAGAUGUGGUGACCUGGGUU